RNAcentral lists this unclassified non-coding RNA (460 nucleotides) under Mucoromycotina sp. 1 KO-2013. RNAcentral's name for it is "partial contains ITS1, 5.8S rRNA and ITS2". The stretch from base 193 to 343 matches the Rfam family "5.8S ribosomal RNA". The record is from RNAcentral. Lineage: Eukaryota; Fungi; Mucoromycota.
UCUUUUUGAGCCUAACUAUCUGACAUUGUGGUAUUAAUGAAAAAAAUGAUUGGGUUUAAAGAUGAUGCCCCUCUGAGUCUUUAGGAGGAGGAGGAAGAGGUAUCGACCCAAACUUUUUAUCAACUCUUUUUUACUAUUUGACUGAAUAUCAAGUAAAUUAAUCCAAUCUUUGGGUUAAAAAAAGUUUUAAAUAACUUUCAACAACGGAUCUCUUGGUUCUCGCAUCGAUGAAGAACGCAGCGAAAUGCGAUACGUAAUGUGAAUUGCAGAUUGUGAAUCAUCGAAUCUUUGAACGCAUAUUGCACUCUUUGGUAUUCCGAGGAGUAUGCUUGUUUCAGUAUCAUGAAAAUCUCACAAAUGAACCAUUUUUUUUGUUUCAGCUUGUGGACUUGGAUUUGCGAUCAAACAAGAUUGCUAAUCUGAAAUGAAUUUCAUGAAGCUUAACAUGCUUUGAAUCUUU